Molecule: transfer RNA, 72 nt
Filed under: Ictidomys tridecemlineatus (thirteen-lined ground squirrel)
Lineage: Eukaryota; Metazoa; Chordata; Mammalia; Rodentia; Sciuridae
Description: Spermophilus tridecemlineatus (thirteen-lined ground squirrel) tRNA
Rfam family: tRNA
About the family: Transfer RNA (tRNA) molecules are approximately 80 nucleotides in length. Their secondary structure includes four short double-helical elements and three loops (D, anti-codon, and T loops). Further hydrogen bonds mediate the characteristic L-shaped molecular structure. tRNAs have two regions of fundamental functional importance: the anti-codon, which is responsible for specific mRNA codon recognition, and the 3' end, to which the tRNAs corresponding amino acid is attached (by aminoacyl-tRNA synthetases). tRNAs cope with the degeneracy of the genetic code in two manners: having more than one tRNA (with a specific anti-codon) for a particular amino acid; and 'wobble' base-pairing, i.e. permitting non-standard base-pairing at the 3rd anti-codon position.
Source: Rfam by way of RNAcentral
UGGGUUGUAGCUCAGUGGUGGAGUACUUGCCUGCUGUGUGUGAGGCAUUGGGUUCAAUUCUCAGCACCACAU